GGCCCCGUAGCUCAGUGGAUAGAGCAGCAGCCUUCUAAGCUGUUGGUCGCGUGUUCGAAUCACGCCGGGGUCGCCA
This 76-nucleotide transfer RNA is filed under the name Geitlerinema splendidum. Its description in RNAcentral is "tRNA-Arg". It matches the Rfam family "tRNA". From Rfam's summary of the family: Transfer RNA (tRNA) molecules are approximately 80 nucleotides in length. Their secondary structure includes four short double-helical elements and three loops (D, anti-codon, and T loops). RNAcentral also lists the same sequence under 1 other name. Lineage: Bacteria; Bacillati; Cyanobacteriota; Cyanophyceae; Geitlerinematales; Geitlerinemataceae. The record is from RNAcentral.